Long non-coding RNA from Monodelphis domestica (gray short-tailed opossum), 979 nucleotides. The record is from Ensembl. Lineage: Eukaryota; Metazoa; Chordata; Mammalia; Didelphimorphia; Didelphidae.
UACUUGAUGGAGUAAUUUCUUCCCCACUAUUUGUUUCUAGUUUUUUUUUUUUUAAAUUAGAAUUUUUAAGGCAAAGAACUUGACUUCCAUGAUCAAUUCAAGGCAUCUGACCUGAAUCAUAACAAUAGCUUACACUGAUAGGGUACUUUUCAUAUAGAAACUCAUUUAAUUUUCAUAACAGCCCUAUGGAAUAGAUGCUUUUAUUAUCCCCAUUUUGCAGAUGAGGAAACUGAGAUUGAUAGUUUAAGUAACUUGCUCGGGCUCUGAUAGCUAGGAAGUGCCUGAGACAGGAUUUAAAUUCAGAACCAGGUGGCUCCAAGUUCAUUGUAUUUUUCCAUUUUACUGCAAAGGAUAAAGUCAUAGGCUGCCCUUAAUGAAUCUAGGACAGCUGGCCUAGAUAACAAUAAUAGCUAAUAUUUUUAGAGUACUUCCUACAUAUUACCUCAUUUCAUCCUCACAGUGCCAUAGUGGUAUGUGUAAUAUUAUUUAUCAAUCUAUAUACAAAAUCUAUUACUUUUCUCCUUUCUAAGGUAGAGAAGUUGGAUUCACAUGGAUCCUGAGUUUGAAUCCUAGCUGUGCCAUUUUACAUUUUAUAGGUGAAGAAACUGAGUGUCCUCUUCCUGCUGAAAUUGAUUUGGACUCCAGGGGCCUCACCUGAUGGAUUUCUACUUUGGAGCCAAGGGAAAUAAAGAUUAGAAGAAUCUGAAAUAUCUGGAAUGGCUUCUCCUUUGCUCUCAGCUCCUAUUAGGCUCUCUUACAGCAUCAUAGACUUUAGACCUGGGAGGCAACUUGGAGAUCAGUGAAGAAACUGAGGCACAGAAACAUCCAGCAACUGGCACUUUAUCAUGUUGUUAGUAAGUAUGGAAGGUGGGAUUCAAAUUGAGGUUUAACUCAGCCUUAUUGCUCUGUUUCUAAAACAUAUCCUUGCAUGGACUGAACAUGGAUAGCUCUCUUCUAGCUCCUUUCCCCAAACACUAGC